Molecule: transfer RNA, 85 nt
Filed under: Felis catus (domestic cat)
Lineage: Eukaryota; Metazoa; Chordata; Mammalia; Carnivora; Felidae
Also listed under: 3 other names
Rfam family: tRNA
About the family: Transfer RNA (tRNA) molecules are approximately 80 nucleotides in length.
Source: Rfam by way of RNAcentral
GCCUGGGUGGCUCAGUCGGUUAAGCGUCUGACUUCGGCUCAGGUUGUGAUCUCAUGGUUCAUGGGUUCAAGCCCCAUGUCAGGCU